AUGGCCUCUGCCCAAUGCCCUCUCUCCAACAGGGAGCCCAGGAGCCAUCCAGAGGCCUCGAGGGGUGACGUCCUCGGGGGAGCAGGGCAGCCGGGCCAGCCCUGGACCCCAGGCUGGGUGGACAAGGCAGAGUUGGACAGUGCUGCCACGGGGACCUGGCCGCAGAGGGAAGACGGGCUCUGUCCGUCCGUGGCUGAGGACUGUGCCGUGGCCAUGGCCCAGCAGCCAGGUGGCCUGGGAGCACCUGCCCUCCUGGCCUGGUCCAGUAACAGGGAUGCUGUGGAGCCUGCGCUGCGGGGCAGGGCUUGCAGCCUGCCCGUGUGGUCCACUGACCAGGAGGCCAGGGGAGGGGGCAGCUCAGUGUCCUCUGGCCGUCUGUCUGGCUCCUCAGGAGGCCAUGUGUCUCGCGCCCCUCCCCACGGGCCCUGGAAGGAGCGGCUGCCCCGGGGGCUGGGGUCCCAGCGGCCGCCCAGAAAGAGUGACCCCAGGCUGGAGCGGCUGCGGGACCGGAUCUGCCAGCAGGCGCGGGGACAGGUGAGCUGCGCCUCCCUGGGCACCUCGGCCCCCUCCAGCGCCUCGCGCCUCUGCUCUGCCUCCACGCCAGCGCCCCGGAGGAGGACCUACAAGGUGACAGCCGCCCUUCCAGGCCCCGCACACUCAGGACUCAGCAUCCUCCGUGUGGCGGAGCCCCGAGAGGAAGACCAGGCGCCCCUAGGCGUGGGGCAGGAGCUCUCUCGGGCCACCCGGCACCAGGCUCCGGGUCUCCGGGACAAAGCCAGGAGGACUUGGGCCCGCUCCUGCAGAAGGGACAGGGCCCCCAGGUCACUCUCGCCCGGCAGAGCUGGCAAGGGCAAAGAUCCCGAGUCUGUCGGUAUUCGCGCCUGGAGGAGAGGACAAGAGCUGGCGCGGCUGCUGCUGGGGCCGUCUCCUGCCCGGCCCGCACGCCCAAGCACCAGCCCCUCAAGGGACCUGGGCCCUGCCAUGGCAUUAGGAGACAUCAAGAGGGCUUCGGCCACUGAGGGCUCAUCAGUCCACACCUGGCCAGACAGGCUCGCCUCGGCCGGCAGUGACCCUCAGGUGUCUGAGAACACAGCCAGCCUGGCUUGCCAUGGCCAGCGGGCAAUGAUCCACACCGCCAUGGCCAUCCUACAAGACCUCCGCCAGCAAAUCCAGGCUGGGCUGGAGCUGGCUCAGGGCCCUAGGCUUGAGCCGAAGCGCAGAGCGUCCAAGCUGAAGCCGCAGAACCUAGGCCAGCAGGGUCGCUGGAGCAUCCAGCUCAGGCAGGGCUCCUGCCCGAAGAGUCCCUGCGACGUGGUAGAGGGGACGCACUCCGCCCUAGACAGGGCCAGGCGCGCCCACCCCCAGCAGCCCUCGAGCACCUCGGCCAAGUGGGAGCCCUGUCCCUCGAGGGCCUGGGAAGCCGCAGGAUGGGACCCCUGCUUCCAGAGACCUCCGAGCCCCUCUGAGAAGCUGAGCCCCUGUGCUCAGGGGCCCUGGAGUGCCUUGCCCUGGCUGGCCUGUCCUCAGUGGGCCUGGGUGCAUAAUGAAGACUGGGAGGUCCCUGACCCCAGACCAUGGAGCCCUCUGGAACGACCAUAUCUUGCCCCUCAGCGCUCCUGGAGUGGCUCCUACUCAAAGAGAGCUAGGUCCCCCUGCAAGGGCAGAGGCGCCACCACCCCUCCCUCCAAAGCCAAGCAGGCCUGGCCGUGGAGCUUACAAGGGAAGGAGCUGGGUGCAGAGCCGUUCCCACCCCACCUGCAGCCCCGGGGGGCCCUGGGCCAGUCACACAGCUCGGAGGCCCUGUGCAACUUCCUGCACCAGAAGGCACAGGCGUGGAGGCAGCAGUCCCUGCAGCAGACGGUCACAAACACAGAUGCACUGGAACGGAGAAGCCAGAAGCUUCAAGAGGUCUACCGGAAGCAGCGGGAGGCCGUGCAGGGCAAGGCAGUCUCUGUGGUCUCCCAGACGAACCCCGGCAUCGUCACCUUCGUGUCCAGUUCUGCACAGUCUGGGGACCUGAAAGCCCCUGGGAGCCUGGAGCCCCCGGAACAGGAGUGGAGCAAAGUGACUUCGGGCAUGGUGCUGGGGAACCAGGAGGUACCAGGCAGCUUCUGUCUGUGUCUGAACAGAGCAUGGAACCGCCUGGAGACGCCCCUGCCUGUGUCUGCCACCUCCUCACUGGGCUCCGUAUGGCUCCAGGACCCAGGCCGGGGGCUGCACGUCUGCUUGGACCCGCAGAUGGCUGAGCAGCUGGACCUGUCGGGCCCACUGCACACACAGCACAAGCAGGCCCGGCUGCAGGCGCUGGAGACAAUGGCCAACGUCCUGCAGCAGCGCAUCGACAUCCUGACUGCCAAGCUGCACCGGAAUGAGGCGCCAGACAGCAGCCAGGACGCAGCUUCCGAGCUGAAGUCCCUGGGGCCCAGCACCACGCCCACUGCCCCGGCCUACCCUGGGGCUUCGCUGCCCAGGGGGGACAGAGGGUCACGCGGUGAUGACUUCCUGGAUGCGGAGCCACUUCUGUGGAGCCCAGGUGCCACGCAGGAGGGACGUUGGCAGCUGGAGCACAGGCUGCAGGGACACUCAUCUCCCUUCCAGGCCGCUGGCGCCAGCAUGGGGAGCAUGCUGGGGGUGCCUGCCGCUCCACACCCCACCUGUGGCUCCCCGUGGCUGGAGGAGAGGCCGGCGGCCAGAGGGGUGGGCUUGGUGACGCCCUGGACCCCCCGGAGCUGCGGUCCCCAGGAGCCUGGGGCGCCACGUCCCAGAGGCCGAGGUGGGCACCUCGCCGACUUCCAGCUGAAGUCCUUGAGAUUCCUCGAAUCACUGAAGCAGGACCCAGGACUUGGGCUGUCACCACAGCUGGAGCAGCGGCAGCAGCAGCAGGAGCAGGCCCUGGCCCUCCUGCGGCAGCGGGCAGAGGAGGAGGUCUGGGAGACACAGAUGGCCCUGGACGGGCUGCUCUUCAAGCACCAGCUGGAGCGGCUGUUGGAGAAACACAGGCCCCGCAGCUGGCUGGGAAGGGCUUCCAAGCUGGAGCAGCCACAGAUCCAUGUGGGCCCAGCGCCCACAGCAUCGGCCCAGAGCCCCGAGCCAGCCAAAACCAGGUCACCCCCAGCCCUGGGCAGAGACGUGACCGGGUCCUCCCAGGGUCCUGAGGAGGGGCAGGCCAGUGUGGAGGGCAAGUCGGCAUCUGCAGGGCUGGCCACACCCGACCCAGGCUCCGCCCGGCUGCGCCCCGCCAGACUCUGCCCUCCGGACAGCCCUGCCCACCAGGGGAGCGCGGCGGGGACCGGGAGUGCUGAGCCCGGAGCCGGCAGGGUCGGUGUCCGGCCGUGUACCGCGGCGUUGGAGCAGAGCUUGCGGGAGGAGGGGCUGCGCGCUCAGCAUUGGGCCCCGCUGCUGCGCCUGCGCGAGAUGGCGCUGGAGGAGAAGGCGCGCGCCGAGCGGGCCUGGCUGGAGCACCAGCGAGGGUGUCUGGGGCGUGGGAGCCACCAAGCCACAAGGGCUGCCUUGUUGGAGAGGACGCAGGCCCUCAGCAGGCUGGAGAAGGAGUGGAGGGAGAUCCGGGACCUGCGGGACCUGCACAGGUCAGUGCUCCAGGGCAGGCAGCAGCUGCUGCAGCAGCAGGAGGCCACAGUGCAGAGGCUGGCGACAUUGCAGCAGAGUCCCAGCCCCCAAGUCAAGCCCACCUGGCAAGGAGCCUCUGAGACAGGCCAGCAGCUGGAAGGAGCCCUGUGCCCCCAGACUGCAUGGAGGCCUGGCAGCCCCGCCAGCCCACAAGCCCACAGAGGCCCUGAGAGUGCAGAGGGCGCACGCCUUGCCCCUGAACCGUGGGAGGAGACACCCCAGACACCUGCAGAUGCCGCCGGCCACCAGCAGCCACCGAGUCCGGCCUCAGGAGGGGACACAGCCGAGGCCAGCAGCCUCCCGAAGGCGGGAGGCAGCCACAUAGACCAAGAGCCUUGUGACCCUCAGCUGGGCCAUCUGCACUCAGGCUCGCUGGACCCUGGACAGCUGUUGGAUUCCACCUAUCCUGCCCUCGAGGCAAAGAGGGACAGCCCCAUAGCUCAGCUUGGGGUGCAGGAGGCACCGGAGCCGCCCACAGGGGACUCUCAGACCCAGGCCAGAGCCUGCUGGGCCAAGAAGAGACCCACGGCUCCGAGGGAUGUCAGAGCGCACAGCUUCCAGGGACAUCGCCUAUACCACCUGGGGGCAGAUGGUCCUCGCUGUCCCCAGGAAGCAAGUAUGGCUGAAGGAAGCACACACCAAGCUGGACUAGAUGUUGCUGGGAGCCCCGUGGGGGAGCCCCUGGAAGUGGCGAGCAGGCUGCCCAGGGAGCUGAGGACCGAGACCUGUUGGCAGGACAGCAGCAUCCCACUGGCCGCCUCCCCAGCUCUCCCUGUCUCAGCAGCUCCUGCGGCCCUGGAGGAGGAGGCGGCAUCCCCCACCCCGCCCAGGCCUGCUACCCCUGUGCACCCGGGCUCCGAGCCUGCAGCUGGGCUUUCCUGGGCGUCUCCGCGGUCCCCGGCGUCAUCCCCUCUGUCCUCAGCAGGCUCUGGGAGUGGCCUGGCCUGCUCCUCCCUCCAGGAGUUUCAGAAAGCCACAGCCACCCUGGUGCAGCUUUCUGACCGCUCGCUCUCCCCGUCCGGCCCAGAGGCCGAGGGCAGCCCAGGCACAGACCCCAGCUGGUCUGAAGAGCUGUCUGUGCCCGGGGACUUGGGCCCACCCUCGUCUUGGGGGCUCUGCCAGGGUGACCCUCAGUGGGGUGCUGUGCCGGGGGGUGCUGGGCUGACGACCUGGCCGGGGCUGGAGUGUGGCCAGGCUGCCCCCCCGCCUGGUGCUCCUAGGGAGGUGGCUGCGGCAGAAGACUUGGUCCCAGGGCGGAGCUGUCUGCAGACAGGCUGGCCACUGCCACCUCAAGAUGUCUGUUCUCCAAGGUCCGGGUCGGAGCUGUCAGAGGCCUCCAGCCAAGUUUGGGAUGAGGACAUUGAGGAGAACCUACUAGAACCCGGCCUGGUGGCCCAGCCCACCUCUGGGUGCUCCUCGCCUCCUGGCUCUUCCAGCUGGGAACACAGCAUGGUUGGGCCUGCCCUGGGCUCGGGGCAGGGACAGGAACCUUCUGAAACCAGCGAGAGCCUGAGUGGGGGGUCAAACACAGGGAGCCCUGAGCAGUUGUCCUCCGAGGCAGCCUCCACCAGUGACCUAGACCUGUCACUCUCAUUUCCUUCAGGGACUUCUGCAUCCAGAGGGGCUCGCUGCCAGGAGAGGGCCCGGGGGGCUGGCCCGAGCCUGUCCCCUGGAAGGAACCCCCCACAGGCCUCUCCAGGGCCUGAGGUCCCCUAUGGGCUGGCAUCCCUUGUAGCCGAGGGCCAGGCAGCUGGGUGUGCAGGGAAUGAGGCCCCCCAAGUCCCAGAGCAAGCUGGCCCCCCGCCCGGCACUGGUUUCCCAGCUGGGGCAUCGUCCCCUGUGGAUGAGGAGUGGCGGUGUGGCGGUGGGGACCUCCCGUGUGCCCCCUCCUGGGAUGCCCACCUCCCCCCACCGCCUUCCCCUCCCCCUGCAGACAGUCAUGGGGAUGAGGCCCAGCCCUGCUGCGAAGACUUCCCUUCCCCGCCCCAAGAGGCCAUGGUUCCCCAAGGCUCCCUGGGCCCCCUGGAGGAGGACAUCUCCAUUGCCACCCAGGACUUGUCCUUGUCCGAGGGGGCCCCAAAGCAGGCUCUGUCUCAGGGUUCCCAGGAGUUGGGACUUGAUCUGAGGGCAUCCUGGCUGUGCAGGGGCCCUGAGUGUGAACUGGGGGGGUUAGGAUCUGCAGUGGGGACUCAGGCCUCCAGUGGCCAGUGGUCUGAACAGAUCACCUGGCCAGAGUCGCCCUUGGGUGGAGGGGGAGGCAGUGUCCCUGGGGGGCUCCCAAGAGCACCAACAUGGCCCUCAUUCCCAUCCCGAGGGGGCUGUGUUGCCGGGGAGGGUCUGUCUGGGCUGUUGGUGGCUGGUGACCCCGAUGUGCUGAGUGUGGGACCCUGCGCUCUCAAGAAGGCCUUGGGCAGGUGCAUGGGACCCCAGGAUGGGCUGCAGUGCUUUGAGAGUACAGGGCGCCUGGGAGGCUCCAGCAGCUCCUCCGCCCCUCCCCAAGACCCGGUGCCCUUGGUGGCCCAUGGUCAGGCGGGGUCCCUGGGGCACACUGGUGAGGAGGGUGUGGAAGGCCUGAGCCACUGGGCAGAGGACUCAAUGGGCAGAGAGCUGCUCCCAGGGGAACACUCAGCCACUGGCCACCAGCCCCCGGGAUCCUGCUCUAAUUUCCUGGGCACAGAGAGGGACGACGCAGUGGCCGUGGUGUCCACCCAGCUCACCCAGAGGAUCCUGUUGGACUCCAUGGCUGUGUUGGCCCCUGGGGGCAGCCUCUAAACACUGCGAUGUCACUCUGUGACCGUGUGUGAGUGUGUGUGAGUGUAUAUGUGUGUGCGUGUGUGUGCGCAUACACACAAGAGCCUCUGGAAGCUAGCCGUUUCCUCCUGGGGUAGACGGGUCAGGCUGGCUGGCCAUCCACGGCCAGCUGUGCAGGAAGUCAUCUGACAGGGCGUCCGCUAUCUGCGAUUCUCUGCUUGUGGGCUGCAUGGCUUCCGGGUUCUCAAGGCCCCUGGCCCAAGUCAGAGAGCAGCGUGGCAGAGGCUGCGUGGGCAGCACAGAGGCUGCUGCUCAGGGCAGGCCGAGGAGCACUGCCCCAGUGGGCCUAGAGGACAGAGGGAGCAGACAAGACAGGGUAGGGCGAGGGCAGGAAGAGCCGGGGAGUGUGGAGCUGGCCAGGGCUGAGAGGAGACAGGACUUGCAGGGUGGCAGCUCAGGGCCUGCAGGUCACUUCAGCCCGGACCAGCAGAGCCUGGGGCCCUGGGCUUGUCCCCUCGGAUGGGGUCACUUCCAGCGUUGUGGGUGCCUCUGUCUCCGGUGGGCUCUCUGGGUCUCCCGGGCCCCCCUCCCUUUUCUCAGGGUCCCUGCAAGGCCACCCUGCCUCGUUCAUGUCCCAGUGAGCUCCGUACUGGGGGACCCUGAGUGGUUCUUUGGGGAGGGGGAACAUGGCUCUGUCCUGUGUCUCCUCUUUGCAGAGGUGCCCCCUUUCUCAGGACAGGUGUCCCGGGGAAGGCUGGGCUGUGGGCUCCAGCACCCAGCACCGCCUGUGUGGGGAGAAGCCAUGGGGCCGCCCCAGAGCCGCAGACCUACAGGGUCCCUGAGCGUCCCCGAUUCCACAAGCCUCUGAUAGUGCUCAGGUGUAUCUGGGAGGAGGGGGUGGGCCAGCCACAUCCCUGGGCUUCCUGGAGCGGACAGGUCCUGCAGAAUGGCCACCUGUGCUGGCUGUGCAGGAAGUCACCUUUGUGACCGUCCCCCAGGAAGUCCACCCACUUCGCUGAAGCCCAGCACGGAGCAGCGCCACAGCCACUAGUGCCAGGCUUGGAUCACCCAGGACCUCCCCAUCCACCCUUGCCCCGAGGCUAGGUGGUAGUGGGGAGUGGGUGGCAUGGGGCAUCUUAAAAUCUCAUGUGAGAGCACAUUUGGGCCUCACUUGAAGCUGCCGCAGACCUGUCCGGGGACCCAGCCUGGCAGGACAGCAGUGUCUGGGGCAGGCUGGCUGUGGGCGGGUGUCUGUGUGCUUGCUGCUUCUGUCCUGAACCUGUACCUGCCCUGCCCGCAGGGAAGCGGCUUCACACCAGCCCAGCGGCGGGUGCUCUCACCACAGAUGCAGCUUUCAGAUCUGCUUUCUGACUCCCAACCCAGGGUUUUCUGAGAGGACCUGGAGCCUGUGCUGGGAGCUCUCUGAGGCUACGCUCCAUUCCUGAGGCAGCACGCAUGUGUGUCCGUGUGUGUGUGUGUGUGUGUGUGUGUGUGUGUGUGUGUGUGUGCACACGCGUAUGUGUGUGUGUCACUCUUCUUCUAGCCAUCCCUGGUCAUUCACCAUCCAUAUACUCAUCUGUCUGUCUGCCUACCAGUCGGUGUGUCCACCGACCUUUACCAGCUCACUUCCAAAUCAUUACAAAUCAUUGUGUUGAAGCUGAACACAAGCCUGUAAUCCCAGCUACUUCAGAGGCUGAGGCAGGAGGGUUGCAAGCUCAAGGCUGGCCUGGGCAAUUUAGCGAGACCUUAUCUCAAAAAAUAAACAAAUACUAGAAGGGCUAAGGGUGUGGCUCAGUGAUAGAGAGCCUUUGCCUAGCUUAGGUGAGGCCCUGGGCUCCAUCCCCAGAGCGUCAAAAGCAAAGACAACCAAAAAGCCAAGUGUGGUGGUGCGUGCCUAUAAUCCCAGCACUGAGGAGGGUGAAGCAGGGGGAUCACUUGAGUUCAAGGCCAGCUUGAGCGACAUACUCAAUUCAAGACCAGCCUGAACUAUAUAUAUAGCGGAAAAAACCCAAAAGUUAACGUUAAAAACCCAGCUAGAACCCCAAAUGUGCCUAUGAGUUCCUUCCUGUAGCUCUGGCAGCAGCCGAUGUGACGGGAAAGGGUGAGGACAGGUGCUACACAGCCAGCGGCUUUGGAAAGUCUGUGCUGGAGCGCUCUGUGCAACACAGAGCUGGCUCAAUGCACAACUUCUGUGUUUUUAUGGAUCAGUUCAAAUUGAUGUUUAAAAACCCACUUGAAUAAAGACUGUAGACUAUGAAAGGAUUGUCGUCAGGAGAUUAUUUUCUCCUACUUCUGUACUGUCUGGUUUCCGUGGGUGACACUAUAUUCUAAACACUUUCUAUUCAGACAUCAUUCCCAUACCACGAAGCUCACCUCUUUGAGCUGUACACAUGAAUUUUAGCAUCCUUAGAAUAUUGAGUACGGGGCUGAGGAUUUAGCUCAGCAGCACAGUGCCUGCCUGGCAAGCACAAAGUCGUGAGUUCGAUUCCGGGUACAGGAAAAAAAACAAACCCCCCCCCAAAAAAAAGAAUAUUGAGUAAUUCGCCUGCAGCCCCCCACUUCUUGAAUUAGGUCCCUUCCUGGGUGGGUCCAGGUUGACAAGCAGCGCUGGCCAUGGAGAUAGUGGAGUCCAGCGCUGACCCUCAGGUCUCUGUUCCUCCCUCAGCCUCGGACCUGCACCUAACUGCACUUGGGGGCCGGGGACCUGAGCUUCCUGCCCCUGUGUGGCUUUAUUUUUAUGAGCAGGUGCUUGCAGUACACCAUAAGCACAUUCCUUGCGGGGAGUUGCCACCCGGCCAGGACACAUCUCAGUCCCUUCUCCUCCCCUUCUCUCCCCCCUCCUUCCCUUGCUUGGUCCCCUUCCUUUGUGCAAAAGACCUACCUCCCAGUUCCUAUUGUCCAUCCCUUGUCUUUAUUUAUACUUUGGAUUUCACAUAGAAGGGAAACCACGAGGCACCGAGCUUGUGCGUCUGACUUUUCUCACCGAGUGAGCAUUAGGGUUUGGUGGUCACCGGCUGUGUUGGGCAUGGCAGGAGCUGGCAGGGCAGAGGUCUGAGGUGCCAAGUCACAGGACAGGGAGCUGCCAGUGCCCUCUGGCCUGUCCCUCCGGCAAGGACCCUUGGGACACUUUUGGGGAGAGGCAGGGCCCCUUCCAGAGAGCUCCUCAUGGAGCCACAAUCUGCCACGUUUCAGGGACAGUGCUUGGCUCAGGGCCCUUCUUGGGCACCUGUGCCUAAAGACAAAUCUCAUUGAGGGAGGCACCAGCCACGGUGUCACCUGGUUCUUUCCCAGCUUUCCCAGGGCACAGAGCUCUGGGUCCAGUGGGGGAAAGUUGUCCCCUGUGUGUGUGACUUCACAUUUUGAGCUAUAGCUGUCUUAUUGAUUCCCUUCUAGUUUUCUGAGCAAAUUAGUCUGUAAUUUUUUAUUUUUUUUCUAUUUAUUGCUGACCCUUUUGGAUUUAUGAGGCCGUGUGAGAGGAAUUAUGUAUUUUACACACAUGCGUUUGGCACGGCAAUAAAUCUCUUACAUUGAAACUCUGCAGAUUUGCCUCAAAUUCAAUACCAAAACUCAAUCUCAUUGCUCGGGCUUCUUGCCAACAGCUCGCAGUGUUGGGGUACACGUAGGAGAACCAGGGUCUCCCCAGAAUGUUCUGACCUGGGAGCCUGGCAGGUAUAUCACAUUGCCAGAGUCAUUUUCGGCCUUGGCAUGGUGCCCUUGAAGGGAGGCUGGGCACAGGAACUAAUGGCAAAGCAGGCCAUGCCUCCUGUGACAGUGCUGGAGGGGGCCGGGGCUAUCAAACGGCUGUGGUGGGCGGAGGAAAAGUAUAUCCAUCGAAGGUGCUGGACACAUUUUAUGUCCCGACGUGUGCAGAGCCCGGCUCCAGCAUGCAGAUGCAGUGACCGGGUGAAGCUGUCCCACAGGACCCUCCCUCCAAGGUCUCCGGCUCUGAUCUUCGGUAACCACUCAGCCCAAUAAAUCCUGACACCAGUCUCGGGAGAAGUCAUUAUGUUUCAUAGAAAGUGGUUAUUUCUCUGUUAAACCCCACGUUUAAUUUUCCAGCGAUCUGUCUCUUUCUGCAUCCUGCUUAUUGCGUCCCUCCUGCAUAGAAAACCAUCCUGCCAUUGGCCUUUGUGCCCCACAUCCCACGUCACCAAGGGAGCCUCCCAGGUCCUUGGAUUCCCGUCCCUGCACAGCCACUCACACAGCCCACACCAAAGGCCACCCUUUCAGUUUACAGAGUGACAGCCGUGCGCUGCUGGGGUGCCAUGUCCACUGCUGCUCUCAAAAUUCUUGGGGUGAAGGACUGUAGAGGAUGAAGAAAUAAAGACAAGGAUCAGGAAGCAGAAAGCUAAGGUCAGGUGGAGCCCCCUCUCCAGAUGGGAGAAAGGAACUGCUCAAGGACUGCGGUGCAUUUACUUACACACUCGGCAGGUUGAUGUCACGUGCAGCCUCUGUCUAGCAACCUGCUUGCCUGGCUGCCUCAGGUUCUCUGUGUUCUCAGAGCUGGAACGGCUUGUUCAUGUGGCUGGCCUCGGGCGCUCUGCACGUGUGAUCAAUCUCCAGUUUCAGCCGAUCCCCACACUGGGGGACACGGUGGCACUGGUUCUGACACGCCAGCAUGCCCACACCCGGGGUGUUUGGUUGCUGGGGCUGGGAGCCGGGUAAGCUCACUUGCCUUCCAAAUGGGGCUGGCCCUGUGCCCAAGAUGCCCUGCCCAAACCAAACCAGGCUCAGGAAGUCAGCCUUUCCCAUGCUAGCACCCCAAGUGGCCUCUGGGACCCCAAGAAAUAUACAGAGCUCAUCCUUCUCCAGGGCCCUGUCCUGUUUGCCCACACCAUGGCAACCACGCCCAUCAAGCUGCUUUUCUGCAUUGCCCCCAACAACUGUCUCCCUUUGCGCCAGCUGAGGCCCCUCCCUGAUGUCCCAAGGACACAGAAGA
This 11317-nucleotide long non-coding RNA is filed under the name Chinchilla lanigera (long-tailed chinchilla). RNAcentral's name for it is "lncRNA (ENSCLAG00000028867.1)". The record is from RNAcentral. Lineage: Eukaryota; Metazoa; Chordata; Mammalia; Rodentia; Chinchillidae.